UCGGGAAUUUUGGGCAAUGGGGGAAACCCUGACCCAGCAACGCCGCGUGAAGGAUGAAGUAUUUCGGUAUGUAAACUUCGAAAGAAUAGGAAGAAUAAAUGACGGUACUAUUUAUAAGGUCCGGCUAACUACGUGCCAGCAGCCGCGGUAAUACGUAGGGACCAAGCGUUGUUCGGAUUUACUGGGCGUAAAGGGCGCGUAGGCGGCAAUUCAAGUCAUCUGUGAAAUCUCCGGGCUUAACUCGGAACGGUCAGAUGAUACUGCUUUGCUAGAGUGCAGAAGGGGCAAUCGGAAUUCUUGGUGUAGCGGUGAAAUGCGUAGAUAUCAAGAGGAACACCUGAGGUGAAGACGGGUUGCUGGGCUGACACUGACGCUCAUGCACGAAAGCGUGGGGAGCAAACAGGAUUAGAUACCCCUGUAGUCCCUGAGCGGGCUGGCAAGGCGCAU
RNAcentral lists this ribosomal RNA (447 nucleotides) under uncultured bacterium. RNAcentral describes it as "bacterial SSU rRNA". It matches the Rfam family "Bacterial small subunit ribosomal RNA", at positions 355 to 825 of the family's 1533-position model. The record is from RNAcentral.